Molecule: ribosomal RNA, 96 nt
Filed under: Vibrio europaeus
Lineage: Bacteria; Pseudomonadati; Pseudomonadota; Gammaproteobacteria; Vibrionales; Vibrionaceae
Source: RNAcentral
GGACCCACCUGAUUCCAUGCCGAACUCAGAAGUGAAACGAAUUAGCGCCGAUGGUAGUGUGGGGCUUCCCCAUGUGAGAGUAGGACAUCGCCAGGU